Molecule: ribosomal RNA, 467 nt
Filed under: uncultured bacterium
Lineage: Bacteria
Description: bacterial SSU rRNA
Rfam family: Bacterial small subunit ribosomal RNA
Source: RNAcentral
GCCAGACUCCUACGGGAGGCAGCAGUGAGGAAUAUUGGUCAAUGGGCGCGAGCCUGAACCAGCCAAGUCGCGUGAGGGAAGACGGUCCUAUGGAUUGUAAACCUCUUUUGUCGGGGAGCAAAAGACGCCACGCGUGGCGUUCCGAGAGUACCCGAAGAAAAAGCAUCGGCUAACUCCGUGCCAGCAGCCGCGGUAAUACGGAGGAUGCGAGCGUUAUCCGGAUUUAUUGGGUUUAAAGGGUGCGCAGGCGGAGGCACAAGUCAGCGGUAAAAUCGCGGGGCUCAACCCCGCUCCGCCGUUGAAACUGUGUCCCUUGAGUGCGCGAAGGGUAGGCGGAAUGCGUGGUGUAGCGGUGAAAUGCAUAGAUAUCACGCAGAACUCCGAUUGCGAAGGCAGCAUACCGGCGCCCAACUGACGCUCAUGCACGAAAGCGUGGGUAUCGAACAGGAUUAGAUACCCUCGUAGUC